Molecule: ribosomal RNA, 228 nt
Filed under: uncultured bacterium
Lineage: Bacteria
Description: partial 16S ribosomal RNA
Rfam family: Bacterial small subunit ribosomal RNA
Source: RNAcentral
CGGGUGAGUAAUGCAUAGGAAUCUACCCAGUAGCGGGGGACAACCUGGUGAAAACCAGGCUAAUACCGCAUACGCCCUACGGGGGAAAGCAGGGGAUCUUCGGACCUUGCACUAUUGGAUGAGCCUAUGUCAGAUUAGCUAGUUGGUGGGGUAAUGGCCUACCAAGGCGACGAUCUGUAGCUGGUUUGAGAGGAUGAUCAGCCACACUGGGACUGAGACACGGCCCAG